AUCAUCCAGUGUCAAAAUCACCCUUUAGGAGGCACUUGAAGACCAGUGCCCAAUAUGCACAGGAACAUUUCCAGUGUCAGAAGUAGACCUGCCAUGCCAGCUUUUGUGGAGACAGGCUCUCCAAGGAAGGUGAUUUUCAGGGGAUUGACUGGAAUUCCUGUUUUUUUUAUGUUUCCACAACUUCAGACGUGUUAUCUCGUGACAGACUUCAGAUGUCUUUGUGGUGUUUAUCUGUGCUGCUGCAUGACGAAUCACAUCCUCCUCACUGUAAAAAUAAAUAAAUAAAAUCAUAUACAUGUAUAUAAAAACAAUAAAGCUAAAUUUUCAGCAUCAUUACUCCAG
This is a long non-coding RNA of Cyprinus carpio (common carp), 342 nucleotides long. RefSeq lists it as uncharacterized. The transcript is spliced from 3 exons. The record is from RefSeq and is a predicted model, not a curated record. Lineage: Eukaryota; Metazoa; Chordata; Actinopteri; Cypriniformes; Cyprinidae.